UUUUAACACGAAGUGAGUGGCGAACGGGUGAGUAACACGUGGGUAACCUGCCCAGAAGUAGGGGAUAACACUUGGAAACAGGUGCUAAUACCGUAUAAUAGAGAAAACCGCAUGGUUUUCUUUUGAAAGAUGGCUCUGCUAUCACUUCUGGAUGGACCCGCGGCGUAUUAGCUAGUUGGUGAGGUAAAGGCUCACCAAGGCAGUGAUACGUAGCCGACCUGAGAGGGUAAUCGGCCACAUUGGGACUGAGACACGGCCCAGACUCCUACGGGAGGCAGCAGUAGGGAAUCUUCCACAAUGGACGCAAGUCUGAUGGAGCAACGCCGCGUGAGUGAAGAAGGGUUUCGGCUCGUAAAACUCUGUUGUUAGAGAAGAACAUAUCUGAGAGUAACUGUUCAGGUAUUGACGGUAUUUAACCAGAAAGCCACGGCUAACUACGUGCCAGCAGCCGCGGUAAUACGUAGGUGGCAAGCGUUGUCCGGAUUUAUUGGGCGUAAAGCGAGCGCAGGCGGUUUUUUAAGUCUGAUGUGAAAGCCUUCGGCUCAACCGAAGAAGUGCAUCGGAAACUGGGAAACUUGAGUGCAGAAGAGGACAGUGGAACUCCAUGUGUAGCGGUGAAAUGCGUAGAUAUAUGGAAGAACACCAGUGGCGAAGGCGGCUGUCUGGUCUGUAACUGCCGCUGAGGCUCGAAAGUAUGGGUAGCAAA
RNAcentral lists this ribosomal RNA (706 nucleotides) under Lactiplantibacillus plantarum. Its description in RNAcentral is "bacterial SSU rRNA". It matches the Rfam family "Bacterial small subunit ribosomal RNA", at positions 78 to 772 of the family's 1533-position model. The record is from RNAcentral. Lineage: Bacteria; Bacillati; Bacillota; Bacilli; Lactobacillales; Lactobacillaceae.